GACCGGUUUGUCUGCUGC
RNAcentral lists this ribosomal RNA (18 nucleotides) under Phytophthora cinnamomi. RNAcentral describes it as "partial 28S ribosomal RNA". The record is from RNAcentral. Lineage: Eukaryota; Oomycota; Peronosporomycetes; Peronosporales; Peronosporaceae.